UCUUGCCGUGAAUCUUGGUCGACGUGUUUAAUUUACCCUCGUUGUCUGUAAAGGCCGGCAUAUACCAUUUCGAUGUAGUUAAGAUAGAUAUUUGUUGAAAAUGCAUUAAAAUUUCCAAGCAUUUUCUAGUUUUCUUUCAUUCAUCGAACAU
This 151-nucleotide small nucleolar RNA is filed under the name Caenorhabditis japonica. RNAcentral's name for it is "Nematode snoRNA ceN105". It matches the Rfam family "Nematode snoRNA ceN105". Lineage: Eukaryota; Metazoa; Nematoda; Chromadorea; Rhabditida; Rhabditidae. The record is from Rfam by way of RNAcentral.